RNAcentral lists this ribosomal RNA (441 nucleotides) under Triticum aestivum (bread wheat). RNAcentral describes it as "partial small subunit ribosomal RNA". The record is from RNAcentral. Lineage: Eukaryota; Viridiplantae; Streptophyta; Magnoliopsida; Poales; Poaceae.
AUGCGGCGUAGCGCGACGUCGCCGGCUCUAUUGCCGGCGAAGCCAGCCGACGUCGACGGGCGGCCCUCCCAGGGCCUGGCCGCUCCCGCUCCCUCUCUCUUGCCGCGGAUCAUGACUUCGCCGAAUCCGUUGUGCGAGACGUCGACGGCUGGCACGGCGCCCUCCAAGCCGCCGCUCGCCCCUGCUCUCGCACGCCGGAUAGCGUCGUCGCCUUUGUUGACGGCAGGCUCGGCAAAUGACACGGCUUCUUUGAUCACCACUACGUCGACAUCAGCAGCCAGAGCUACCCAACAUACACAACCCCACGCCGCGGCGUUCCGGCCGGCAGAGCUGAGUAAUCCGGUGUGCCAGGCGGCUCCAGUAUUCUUGGUGCCAGUAAUGCCGCAGGUCAUAAUCCACCGGCCGAAGAUCAUCCUCGUACCCGUGUUCAAUUCAUUCUAA